AUAAAAGGAUUAUAAGGCUAAAAAAUCAAUUUAAACCCUAUAUUUGUCCUUCUAGCUAUCUUCACUCCUAUAUUCAAUUAGUUCAACACAUGCAUUCAAUUUUCAAAAUAAUUAUGAAGGUUAUAAAGGUGAGAGAUGAAGUUUCAACAAGGGGAAAAUGUAAUGGCUUAAGAAAUAGUGAUUUUUUUUUGAGAUGGUGGUCCCCUUUUUUUUGUUUAAGGACUUUGAUGACCUUUUUUUUUCUUUUUUUUUUCUUUUUUUUUCUUCGGUUAUUCACAUCUCAUUCUUUUUUCUCUUUUUUUGGAAGAAUUUUUCUAGGGCCCUUUUGGUUUGAUCUUUUUUUUGAAAGGUCU
Molecule: long non-coding RNA, 353 nt
Filed under: Lathyrus oleraceus (garden pea)
Lineage: Eukaryota; Viridiplantae; Streptophyta; Magnoliopsida; Fabales; Fabaceae
Description: Pisum sativum (pea) long non-coding RNA (PSAT_LNC034581)
Source: RNAcentral